RNAcentral lists this ribosomal RNA (1389 nucleotides) under metagenome. Its description in RNAcentral is "bacterial LSU rRNA". It matches the Rfam family "Bacterial large subunit ribosomal RNA", at positions 1553 to 2925 of the family's 2925-position model. The record is from RNAcentral.
AGCCUGAGAUGUGAUGCCGAGCCGAUUGUGGUGAAGUGGAUGAUCCUAUGCUGCCGAGAAAAGCCUCUAGUGAGUGUUGUGGCGGCCCGUACCCUAAACCGACUCAGGUGGUCAGGUAGAGAAUACCAAGGCGAUCGGGUGAACUGUGGUUAAGGAACUCGGCAAAUUGCCCCCGUAACUUCGGGAGAAGGGGGACCUCUGCUGGUGAUGGGCUUUACGUUCUGAGCUGGCGGGGGUCGCAGUGGCCAGGGGGAAGCGACUGUUUACUAAAAACACAGGUCCGUGCGAAGUCGAAGACGAUGUAUACGGGCUGACGCCUGCCCGGUGCCGGAACGUUAAGGGGACCGCUUAGCCAGCUUCGGUUGGCGAAGGUGAGAACUUAAGCGCCGGUAAACGGCGGUGGUAACUAUAACCAUCCUAAGGUAGCGAAAUUCCUUGUCGGGUAAGUUCCGACCUGCACGAAUGGCGUAACGACUUCCCCGCUGUCUCAACCACAGACCCGGCGAAAUUGCACUACGAGUAAAGAUGCUCGUUUCGCGCAGCAGGACGGAAAGACCCCGGGACCUUCACUACAGCUUGACAUUGGCGUUUGGAACGUCUUGUGUAGGAUAGGUGGGAGACUAGGAAGCUGUCACGCUAGUGAUGGUGGAGUCAUUGGUGAAAUACCACUCUGGUCGUUUUGAACGUCUAACUCUGGUCCGUGAUCCGGAUCGGGGACAGUGUCUGGUGGGUAGUUUAACUGGGGCGGUUGCCUCCUAAAGAGUAACGGAGGCGCCCAAAGGUUCCCUCAGCCUGGUUGGCAAUCAGGUGUUGAGUGUAAGUGCACAAGGGAGCUUGACUGUGAGACUGACAGGUCGAGCAGGAGCGAAAGCUGGGACUAGUGAUCCGGCAUCGGCGUGUGGAAGCGGUGUCGCUCAACGGCUAAAAGGUACCCCGGGGAUAACAGGCUGAUCUUCCCCAAGAGUCCAUAUCGACGGGAUGGUUUGGCACCUCGAUGUCGGCUCGUCGCAUCCUGGGGCUGGAGUAGUCCCAAGGGUUGGGCUGUUCGCCCAUUUAAAGCGGUACGCGAGCUGGGUUUAGAACGUCGCGAGACAGUUCGGUCCCUAUCCGCUGCGCGCGCAGGAGACUUGAAGGGGGCUGUCCCUAGUACGAGAGGACCGGGACGGACGAACCUCUGGUGUGCCAGUUGUACCGCCAGGUGCACGGCUGGUUGGCUACGUUCGGAAGGGAUAACCGCUGAAAGCAUCUAAGCGGGAAGCUCGCCUUGAGAUGAGGUCUCCCACCCCGUGAGGGGGUAAGGCUCCCGGUAGAUCACCGGGUUGAUAGGCCGGAGGUGGAAGCACGGUAACGUGUGGAGCUGACCGGUACUAAUAGGCCGAGGACUUGACC